UUUAAAGUCAAUUAGUAUAUUUAAAUUUAUAGUACUUUAAUUUUACCUUGGCUGUAGCCUAUUCUUCCUAUUUUUUACUUUAUUAUAACAUUUGAAAAUACAAAAAUUAGUUUCACUUUUAGUAUUUAGUUUUAUAUUAGUUUAUUUUAAUUAAGGUUGAUUUUUACACUUUAUAGAUACAUUAUAUUAUUUGGUCUCCUUAGCCUAAAUUCAAACCCAAAAGACAUGGUCCAACCCAAUUUCCUAAGUCCAAGCCCAUUUACCCUUUCCUCUCUUAUAUACUCCCUCUGUUUCAUAUUAUAUGAGGUAGUUUGACUCGGUACGGAGUUUAAGAAAAAAUAAGAAGGCUUUUGAAACUUGUGGUCUUAAAAGCUUAAGGUGUAAAAGGUUUAUGGGGCCAUGACAUUUAUGUGACUAUAAAAGUUUUUCAUUAAGGGUAAAUGGUAAAAUGAAAGAGUUUAAAGUUGAAUUAUUUCCAAAUUUAGAAAUGCAUCAUUUGUUUUGGAACAGACUAAAAAGGAAAGUACCUCAUUUAUUAUAAAACGGAGGGAGUACCAAUGAAAAAUAACCUAAAAAAAGACUAACACCUUGACUUAACUCUAGGGACAACCUAAAAAAAGGGCGAAAACAGAAAGGCCAGCCGUUUCCAUCGGAAGAGAAGUUUCAUCUUCUCUUUCAAAAAAAAAUGAACAGACCUAGAACCUUAGUCUUGAAGCAGCCGCGGAACCCAAGAGACCACCCCCCCUACGUCAUUCUUUUUCAACCUUCGAUCUCGCCAGAAAACGAACAACAACUAACACAUACACAACACACACAAUAAAAAUGAGACUCCAUUUCUGAAAAUCGGCAGCAACGACUUUCUUCUUCAUCAUCCUCGACUCAGCUCGCUGGAACAACCACGAACCAGACUUCCUCCUUCACCUCCAUCGCCGUCUCAACUCCACAAAAACACCACCUGAAGCCACAACAAAACAGUUCUAAAAUACAGCCAAACAACCUCCAAAAGCUCUCCAAACACGACCGAAAAUACAAGAGUUUUAGUCGAGGUUCAAAGCUCCGUCGAAGUUCUAGGUGUCAUUUUCGGUUGUGGUUACUUCACGUAAAAGUCCAGCAGAUAUCUGUUCUUGUUGAGUUGAAGAAUAUUUAGCUAUUGAAAGAUCCAGGUACUUCUACUCAGGCCUACUAUCCUUGAGGGAGACGACUACUUAGAGACUUCGAGGUACAUUUCCCACGUCUGCAGACCAAGGAGUCCCUUUCUGUUCAUGCUUUCUAGUAUUUAGCCAUUCUGUACUUUCUAUUCUUAUUAGACAAUUUCGGAGUUAGAGCUAUGUAGUAUUUCUUUUUCUUA
This is a long non-coding RNA of Nicotiana tabacum (common tobacco), 1348 nucleotides long. RefSeq lists it as uncharacterized. Lineage: Eukaryota; Viridiplantae; Streptophyta; Magnoliopsida; Solanales; Solanaceae. The record is from RefSeq and is a predicted model, not a curated record.